This is a long non-coding RNA of Boleophthalmus pectinirostris (great blue-spotted mudskipper), 156 nucleotides long. RefSeq lists it as uncharacterized. The transcript is spliced from 2 exons. The record is from RefSeq and is a predicted model, not a curated record. NCBI's taxonomy places the organism in Eukaryota, Metazoa, Chordata, Actinopteri, Gobiiformes, Gobiidae.
GCGCCUCCUGUUUGAGUGAAUGGACCGAGAGCUCUGAGAGGUUGCGGUUUGACCUGAAGUGUGGACGUCCAACUAGAGUCUGCGAGUCAGGAACUACUGGAAACCACUUAGUUCAUGAUGCGACAUUAUUCAAAUAAAGAGUUUUGAAACAUUGAA